This 246-nucleotide long non-coding RNA is filed under the name Mytilus galloprovincialis (Mediterranean mussel). Lineage: Eukaryota; Metazoa; Mollusca; Bivalvia; Mytilida; Mytilidae. The record is from RNAcentral.
UUAAUGAUUAGAGAGGCCCCUCAUGGGGGGGUCCUAGUAAUCACAUAAUCACCAUUUUUUUGCCAAUAUAAUCACAUAAUCAUUAAAUAUUUGCUUAUCUUUAGUAAUCAAAUAAUCAUAAACUAAAAAUACAGUCCUAGGUAAUCAAAUAAUCAUGAAAUAUUUGGCUUAAUAAUCAAAUAAUCAUUAAAAAAACGGCCAAGUAAUCACAUAAUCAAAAACCCCAUGAGGGCCCUCAUUAGACUA